Molecule: ribosomal RNA, 127 nt
Filed under: Blautia wexlerae
Lineage: Bacteria; Bacillati; Bacillota; Clostridia; Lachnospirales; Lachnospiraceae
Description: partial 23S ribosomal RNA
Rfam family: Bacterial large subunit ribosomal RNA
Source: RNAcentral
CUUAAGAUGAGAUAUCCCAUUCGAAAGAAGUAAACCCCCUUGAAGACGACGAGGUAGAUAGGGCAGAGGUGGAAGUGUGGCAACACAUGGAGCUGACUGUUACUAAUCGGGUGAGGGCUUGACCAAG